UGGGGAAUAUUGGACAAUGGGCGAAAGCCUGAUCCAGCCAUGCCGCGUGUGUGAAGAAGGUCUUCGGAUUGUAAAGCACUUUAAGUUGGGAGGAAGGGCAUUAACCUAAUACGUUAGUGUUUUGACGUUACCGACAGAAUAAGCACCGGCUAACUCUGUGCCAGCAGCCGCGGUAAUACAGAGGGUGCAAGCGUUAAUCGGAAUUACUGGGCGUAAAGCGCGCGUAGGUGGUUUGGUAAGUUGGAUGUGAAAUCCCCGGGCUCAACCUGGGAACUGCAUUCAAAACUGACUGACUAGAGUAUGGUAGAGGGUGGUGGAAUUUCCUGUGUAGCGGUGAAAUGCGUAGAUAUAGGAAGGAACACCAGUGGCGAAGGCGACCACCUGGACUAAUACUGACACUGAGGUGCGUAAGCGUGGGGAGCAAACA
Molecule: ribosomal RNA, 427 nt
Filed under: uncultured bacterium
Lineage: Bacteria
Description: partial 16S ribosomal RNA
Rfam family: Bacterial small subunit ribosomal RNA
Source: RNAcentral